GGAGUUCAGUGGUAGAGCAUCUGAUUUCCAUGGCAAAGGUCCCAUGUUCAAUCCCUGGCAUCUGCA
This is a non-coding RNA of Podarcis lilfordi (Lilford's wall lizard), 66 nucleotides long. Lineage: Eukaryota; Metazoa; Chordata; Lepidosauria; Squamata; Lacertidae. The record is from the annotation of a GenBank genome assembly.